CGGGUGGUAAUGCCGGAUGCUCCGGUUGGAUGCAUGUCCUUCCGGGAAAGAUUCCAUCGGUAUGGGAUGGGGUCGCGUCCUAUCAGCUUGAUGGCGGGGUAACGGCCCACCAUGGCUUCGACGGGUAGCCGGCCUGAGAGGGCGACCGGCCACAUUGGGACUGAGAUACGGCCCAGACUCCUACGGGAGGCAGCAGUGGGGAAUAUUGCACAAUGGGCGCAAGCCUGAUGCAGCGACGCCGCGUGCGGGAUGGAGGCCUUCGGGUUGUAAACCGCUUUUGAUCGGGAGCAAGCCCUUCGGGGUGAGUGUACCCUUCGAAUAAGCACCGGCUAACUACGUGCCAGCAGCCGCGGUAAUACGUAGGGUGCAAGCGUUAUCCGGAAUUAUUGGGCGUAAAGGGCUCGUAGGCGGUUCGUCGCGUCCGGUGUGAAAGCCCAUCGCUUAACGGUGGGUCUGCGCCGGGUACGGGCGGGCUGGAGUGCGGUAGGGGAGACUGGAAUUCCCGGUGUAACGGUGGAAUGUGUAGAUAU
This 530-nucleotide ribosomal RNA is filed under the name Bifidobacterium dentium. RNAcentral describes it as "bacterial SSU rRNA". It matches the Rfam family "Bacterial small subunit ribosomal RNA", at positions 157 to 697 of the family's 1533-position model. Lineage: Bacteria; Bacillati; Actinomycetota; Actinomycetes; Bifidobacteriales; Bifidobacteriaceae. The record is from RNAcentral.